Long non-coding RNA from Mus spicilegus (steppe mouse), 1738 nucleotides. The record is from Ensembl. NCBI's taxonomy places the organism in Eukaryota, Metazoa, Chordata, Mammalia, Rodentia, Muridae.
GUUUGUCAUUUGACAGCUGAUAGCAGUAUGUUAACAAAGAUGCCAUUUACUGAGUGAGCACUGGCUUACACAGGCGUUUCCCCAAAUGCUCCCAUGUCUUAAACACCAGGCCUAUUUAGGGCUAUGCCACCGCUGCUGCCACAGAAAGGCUGGCGAGGGUAGGCUGUGCAUCUUUGACAUCUGGUGAUCAGGGAAUCUCUGGCACCCUAGGACCACCCUGUCCAUGUCUGUGGAGGCUUAGCACGGGAUGGUAGCCCUUUCUGCUCCCAUGGGGGCUAUCCAUAGCACCAGGACCAAGAUGAUGAGGGUAUAUUUCUUGUUUGCCUGCUUUCGCCCUGGCUGUAGAAAUUAGCCAGGUCUAGGACAGGGUGUCUAGGACAGCAGUUCAGCCUGUUUGUGGCCGACACAGGGCCUGGUGUGUGUGUUCUGUGCAGUGUAGGAGUCACUGAAGUUUUUCCUCAGUGCCCCCCUCUGUCUGCCUUUCUCAGCAAUAAGCCAGAAGGCAGGCUUGAGAGGAGCCUCGUGAUGGGUCCUCCCUCCCACCUUCCUUGGGCAAGGUGGCACUCGGAGGAGCCAGCUACAACCUGCCACUUCAUGGGUGUCCCAGUUGUAAGGCAAGCGCUUCCAGGAGUGGUGUUCCGUGAUCCUCUGUUUCAGUCUCAUCGCCCACAACUUGGUCCACCUCCUGCUGCUGGCCCGCUGGGAGCACACACCCCUCGUGAUCCUGGGUGUCGGUGAGUACAGGGCCCCUCUCGAGGUCGUGUGCCUUUGUGCAGUCGAGCACAUGAGUGCUUGGGGUGGUCUCGGGUCAGGACCUGCUCAUCUUGGAGCAUUCAUUUUAGUGGCAUGGUGACAUCACCCCCAGUUCCUGUUGCUUCCAUUCUUCUUUUGGCGUACUGAAAAUCAGCUACCUCCCCCAGGUGUUCUCCAGCCUCCCCCGCCCACUGCCCCGUCCAGUGCUGACCUGGCAGCCAUUCCAUCUGACAGCCCCCAACUUCAACAUUCCCUCCUUGUUGCUGUUCGGCCACACUGACCACACUCUCGGCGCAUGCACACCCCUUCCUUUGGGGACCCCUGUACGAGCUGUUCACUGUACCUGUAGCCCUUCUCAGGACUCCAUGCUUUUGAUCCCCAAGAUCUACUGACAGCCACCUGCUUAAGUAGGUCCUCCGUGAUGGGCCCUCAGAGACAGCCCUGUGGAGUUUGGUGGGUACAAGCCUUUAAUCUCAGUACUUGGGAGGCAGAAGAAGAUCUGUGAUCUCUGGGCCAGCCAGGGCCACAUGGUGACCAAGCCCUGCCACACACACUGUCGCUGGAGCCCACUGAGUCUCCAACAACUCAGAAGUCAGAUUUUUUUUUUCCCCUGUUCCAUCCACUGCUGUAUCUCUAGCCUUGGGCAUGAGCCCUGAUACAUGGCAGGUGCUAGGAAUUCAGUGAGUUGGAUGGUAUAUAUGGAGUGAGGGUCCUGUGUGCUAGGAAGUCCUGGUGUUCCCCUUGGCCAGGCUGAGACUCAUCAUCUUGAUGAGGAACUAAAGGCUGAGAGAAGGGACCUGCAGGACACUUUAACCUGAAGCACAUGUGGUCGGAAUGUCUGGCUGCAACCCGAGCUCCAGAUGGCUCAGUUUCCCUCCUUUCCAGCCCAUUGUCCUCUGGCUCAGGUGCCCCAGGGCUGGCCAAGGGGUUGUGGUACCCUUGGUCCUACCUGACCCUUCCUGUGGCUUUGCUUCUCAAUCCCGUU